UUAAAACCCCAAAAAUAUUUUCCUUUCUUUUUUUGUUAUUCAUUUUCAUGUUAUAAUUAUUCUUUCUCCAAAUACUGUUCACUGGCGUACUUAGCUCAUCGAAGUAUGAGACGGGAAAUUGCGUUGCAGUGGACCGGGAUAACGCUACAAUUCAGCAUCCUCUCUCAGCCUACUAACUUGCUAUCGUGGAAGACUUUAGCUUGUCAGGUACUAGCGACCCCAGUGACCGCAUAACGAGUAAGCUUCGUUGCCGUGGCUCUCUGGAUACUGGAUAGCUCGACUGGCAGCCAGUCGGCAGAGGAGUCGACCAGUCAACGUACGGUGUGAUGCAGACGUCUGGACGGAGGAGCAGUCAAGUUGGAAUGGGUUCCUAGAGGUUUUGGCGCCUCCAGUGUCAACAGUUUGUCACAACUGUUUGAGGUUUACUACAAAAUCACCAUCUACUCUUUUAAUUCCUACUUAAUGGGGCUCGCAAUUCUUCUUAAAGCCCUGUAAAUCAUAGGGCCCGCCCUUCCCAUUCAUUCAAUGAUCUUCAGUUUCAACUGACAUCAAUCCUCUGACGCUGUCAACAAAUAAUAAUAUAUAAACAAACAUUAUUGACCUGUAUGCCAAUCCACACAACAAAGUAAUCAAUUAUGUGAAUAUUGUUGCCUGGUCAUUUGAUUAACCACCCUCUGUUUUAUCAGUGUUUGAAGCUAUAUAAUAUUUUUCUUAUGUGCAAUGUGGAAUAUACGUUCAAAGCUAUUAUAUGAAUGCAUCAUUGUGACUGGCAGGCCAGCAGAAUUCAUUAUUACUGCAAAAAUAUUUGAAGCAGUAUCUGUCUGUCUGUUCCUGGCAAAUUAGGCCUUUUUAAAACUGCAGCAUGUCUUCUCAACUGCUAGGUCUAAGAUUCAGAAAUGACUUCUAUUAUUUAUUGAUUCUUUGAGGGUGCACUUAUCUGUCCAUAACAGUCAGACUGGUUGAAUAAUGCAGAGGUGUUCCACAUGGCUCCUGCAGAAAGCCAUCUAUUCCUGACACAGUUGUAUUCCUGUCUUCGAUCCCCCAUUUUCUUGAUGGAAAUUAAACACUUUUUACAUCAUG
Molecule: long non-coding RNA, 1080 nt
Organism: Gadus morhua (Atlantic cod)
Lineage: Eukaryota; Metazoa; Chordata; Actinopteri; Gadiformes; Gadidae
Exons: 2
Source: RefSeq, a predicted model, not a curated record